RNAcentral lists this ribosomal RNA (468 nucleotides) under uncultured bacterium. Its description in RNAcentral is "partial 16S ribosomal RNA". It matches the Rfam family "Bacterial small subunit ribosomal RNA", at positions 28 to 507 of the family's 1533-position model. The record is from RNAcentral.
GACGAACGCUGGCGGCGUGCUUAACACAUGCAAGUCGAACGGAAAGGCCCUGCUUUUGUGAGGUGCUCGAGUGGCGAACGGGUGAGUAACACGUGAGUAACCUGCCCUUGACUUUGGGAUAACUUCAGGAAACUGGGGCUAAUACCGGAUAGGAGCUCCUGCUGCAUGGUGGGGGUUGGAAAGGUUCGGCGGUUGGGGAUGGACUCGCGGCUUAUCAGCUUGUUGGUGGGGUAGUGGCUUACCAAGGCUUUGACGGGUAGCCGGCCUGAGAGGGUGACCGGCCACAUUGGGACUGAGAUACGGCCCAGACUCCUACGGGAGGCAGCAGUGGGGAAUAUUGCACAAUGGGCGGAAGCCUGAUGCAGCAACGCCGCGUGCGGGAUGACGGCCUUCGGGUUGUAAACCGCUUUCGCCUGUGACGAAGCGUGAGUGACGGUAAUGGGUAAAGAAGCACCGGCUAACUACGUG